UUUUGACACGAACAGAAAAGCUUCUUUUACUUGAACUUAACUCUAGACAACCGAGUCCUUUGAUUUGCCAGAGCAACCUAGGGGAUAAUUCUUUUAUCGUGUGCUGCAUGUUAUAUUCUUUUAUUCUUUUACAACAUGCCACCUUUGUAUUUCUUUGCAUUUUCCCAGCAUCUUCUUCCUUGUGCCCUUAGCUCAUUCACUGUGGUUGUUUUGCAGAUACCAUGGUGAUCUGUAUUGGCAAAAUCUCUUGGGAGGAUCACAUGCGAAUGUUGCUGAGGUCAAUAUUCGAAAUAAGAAGCUUUCUUUCUUCUGGUUAUGUAUGGAGACGUGUUACCCCCUGUGGCAGCAUUGCUCGCUGUUGUGGAUGACAUCUUCUGCUCGUUUCAAGCACACCCAGAGGGUGUUGCUCUUCUCAAGCAGCAAUAUGGAUUGAACGAGACCACUAAUGAGGUCACCGCUGUCAUAGAAGCUCAUAGAACUCCAAGAGAUCGGAGGCCUUAUGCUGCCGAUCGAGUUAUGAAAGACAUCAGUGGAAAGUUUGCGUUUGUGCUCUUGCACAGCCCUCCAGAAUUCUAGUUGCUGAUGUUGGUGGAAGUGUCCCUUUCUUCUGGGGAAGUGAUUGCGAAGGCGAUCUUGUUCCCUCGGACGAUGCAGGAGUCAUAAACAAGGGCUGUGGGAAACUGUUGCACCAUUCCCUAAAGGAUGCUUCUUCAUCAGCUCUGGAGGUUUGUGGAGUUACAAGCACCCACCAAAUGAGGUGAAGUGAGUUCCUGGGGUGGAUAGCUUGGGCCGAGUGCGCGGUGCCACAUUCGAAGUGGUGCAGAGACUAAGAAGGAGUCUAACAUGCCUAGAGUUAGGAGUGCUAGCAAACUGGUCCUCGCACUACCUAGUCAUAUGGUUUGUGGCCCUUUCUUGGCCAGGCCAUUAGCUAUUGAAUGGCCUUCUGUUGCUUAUGAUCCAGUCACCCUUAUACAUCGACAAUUUUCAGCUCUAAUGGUCGAUUGCUUCAUGUUAUGAGUUUGAGAUGAUGUUGUUUUAUGCGGCUGUAUCUGUUGCUUAUAAAACCAAGCCUUUCCAGAACCUGAUCAUGCUAUUUACAAUAAUAUCAUUCUGGCAAUUCAUUAAGCCAUCGUGCAGAGUUCAUUCAAUGUAAUGUUUUUUCGCUUAGAUGUCUAUUAUGUAACUGUAAUCUACCAGUAAUGAUUAGAAAGAUUCUUGAUAUCCA
Eucalyptus grandis is the source of this 1225-nucleotide long non-coding RNA. RefSeq lists it as uncharacterized. The transcript is spliced from 4 exons. The record is from RefSeq and is a predicted model, not a curated record. NCBI's taxonomy places the organism in Eukaryota, Viridiplantae, Streptophyta, Magnoliopsida, Myrtales, Myrtaceae.